ACUUAUUCUCAGGGCGGGGUGAAAAUCCCCACCGGCGGUAUCCCAGGUUAUACUGGGGAGCCCGCGAGCGCUCCUUCGAUUGAUGGAGGUCAGCAGAUCUGGUGAAAAACCAGAGCCGACGGUCACAGUCCGGAUUGAAGAGGAUAAGG
Molecule: non-coding RNA, 149 nt
Filed under: Methanobacterium sp.
Lineage: Archaea; Methanobacteriati; Methanobacteriota; Methanobacteria; Methanobacteriales; Methanobacteriaceae
Description: FMN sequence
Rfam family: FMN riboswitch aptamer (RFN element)
About the family: The RFN element is a highly conserved domain that is found frequently in the 5'-untranslated regions of prokaryotic mRNAs that encode for flavin mononucleotide (FMN) biosynthesis and transport proteins. This element is a metabolite-dependent riboswitch that directly binds FMN in the absence of proteins. In Bacillus subtilis, the riboswitch most likely controls gene expression by causing premature transcription termination within the 5' untranslated region of the ribDEAHT operon and precluding access to the ribosome-binding site of ypaA mRNA.
Source: RNAcentral